RNAcentral lists this long non-coding RNA (497 nucleotides) under Anas zonorhyncha (Eastern spot-billed duck). RNAcentral describes it as "lncRNA (ENSAZOG00000004669.1)". Lineage: Eukaryota; Metazoa; Chordata; Aves; Anseriformes; Anatidae. The record is from RNAcentral.
GCCCUCUGCUGCCUGCUUGGGCACAAUGAAAAAGCACCAGUAAGAAAUUUGGCUUGUAUGCUUUUGACCUGAAACUUGAGUAAAGCAAUUCAGUGACAUCUUUUAAAAUAGCUCUUUUUAUAUGGUAAGGUUUUUGUCUGAAAACAAUUUCUUAUACAAAGGUUUCUAAAAAAUACUACAGAAAGUGUUAAUGUAUGUUUUACUGUAAGCAGUAUUUGCAAAUUUAAAUACUUUUUUUUUUUUUUUUAUUUCUGCUCUCUUGAGAAUCCAAGCCAUACUCCAUGCAGAGAAACACUGGAGCAGCAGAAAUUUUGAGGAGUAUUUUUCCUUUUGUCAGUGAUAAAGCAUAAAAUUCAUGCUUUCUUCACACUGAAGAGAUCGUCUGGAGAGAAAGCAGCAUCUGACGUUAUUCCAUCUUCAGAAUGUGAACAGACCGACUGGACACUACUACAGAAACUCCACAGGUUGUUUUGGGUAAAAAAAAGUGAGAACCUAAG